CAGCAGCCGCGGUAAUACGAAGGGGGCUAGCGUUGUUCGGAUUUACUGAGCGUAAAGCACACGUAGGCGGAUCGAUCAGUCAGGGGUGAAAUCCCAGAGCUCAACUCUGGAACUGCCUUUGAUACUGUCGAUCUGGAGUAUGGAAGAGGUGAGUGGAAUUCCGAGUGUAGAGGUGAAAUUCGUAGAUAUUCGGAGGAACACCAGUGGCGAAGGCGGCUCACUGGUCCAUUACUGACGCUGAGGUGCGAAAGCGUGGGGAGCAAACAGGAUUAGAUACCCGCGUAGUCCCUGUCUCUUAUAC
This 301-nucleotide ribosomal RNA is filed under the name uncultured bacterium. RNAcentral describes it as "partial 16S ribosomal RNA". It matches the Rfam family "Bacterial small subunit ribosomal RNA", at positions 509 to 807 of the family's 1533-position model. The record is from RNAcentral.